UAGAUACUCCCUCUGUCCGGAAAUACUUGUCCUAAAGAUGAAUGUAUCUAGACUUAUUUUAGUUAUAGAUACAUUCAAUAUAUCCAUUUUUAGGACAAGUAUUUCCGGACGGAGGGAGUAGUAU
RNAcentral lists this microRNA precursor (124 nucleotides) under Hordeum vulgare. RNAcentral describes it as "microRNA MIR1122". It matches the Rfam family "MIR1120/MIR1122 microRNA precursor family". Lineage: Eukaryota; Viridiplantae; Streptophyta; Magnoliopsida; Poales; Poaceae. The record is from RNAcentral.